Molecule: ribosomal RNA, 267 nt
Filed under: uncultured prokaryote
Description: partial 16S ribosomal RNA
Rfam family: Bacterial small subunit ribosomal RNA
Source: RNAcentral
AGCCGCCGCGGUAAUACGAAGGGGGCUAGCGUUGCUCGGAUUUACUGGGCGUAAAGGGCGCGUAGGCGGAUGACCAAGUUGGGGGUGAAAUCCCGGGGCUUAACCUCGGAACUGCCUCCAAAACUGGUCGUCUUGAGUUUGGGAGAGGUGUGUGGAACUCCGAGUGUAGAGGUGAAAUUCGUAGAUAUUCGGAAGAACACCAGUGGCGAAGGCGACACACUGGCCCAAUACUGACGCUGAGGCGCGAAAGCGUGGGGAGCAAACAGG